CCAGGAAUAACAAAAAAGUACAUGUUUGAUAACGGAUGAAUUACAAGGAUACUUGAAAUCUUGAGAUAGACAAAAUCUGCAAGAGUAUAUACAUCUCGCUCGGGUAGUCUCCAGUCUUGCAUCUUCCGCUUGCACAAAAUUCACUUCUUCCAUAUUCAUAGCGAAAGGCCUCUCCUUGAUCGAGUUGCUGCAUUUAUUUGAAGGUAUCUUAACUUUGUAGAAUUAAACGCCCAAAUUUCCAGAGUUUCUUUGGCUCUAUUUGUUGGUGGGGA
Molecule: long non-coding RNA, 272 nt
Filed under: Olea europaea (common olive)
Lineage: Eukaryota; Viridiplantae; Streptophyta; Magnoliopsida; Lamiales; Oleaceae
Description: long non-coding RNA (OEUR_LNC011960)
Source: RNAcentral